Molecule: ribosomal RNA, 276 nt
Filed under: uncultured Eubacteriales bacterium
Lineage: Bacteria; Bacillati; Bacillota; Clostridia; Eubacteriales
Description: uncultured Clostridiales bacterium partial 16S ribosomal RNA
Rfam family: Bacterial small subunit ribosomal RNA
Source: RNAcentral
AUGAAGUUUUCGGAUGGAUUUAAAACAGCUUAGUGGCGGACGGGUGAGUAACGCGUGGGUAACCUGCCUCACACUGGGGGAUAACAGUUAGAAAUAGCUGCUAAUACCGCAUAAGCGCACAGUACCACAUGGUACAGUGUGAAAAACUCCGGUGGUAUGAGAUGGACCCGCGUCUGAUUAGCUUGUUGGCGGGGUAACGGCCCACCAAGGCGACGAUCAGUAGCCGACCUGAGAGGGUGAUCGGCCACAUUGGAACUGAGAGACGGUCCAAACUCC